Molecule: ribosomal RNA, 44 nt
Filed under: Tetraodon nigroviridis (spotted green pufferfish)
Lineage: Eukaryota; Metazoa; Chordata; Actinopteri; Tetraodontiformes; Tetraodontidae
Source: RNAcentral
GCCUGGUUAGUACUGGGAUGGGAGACCGCCUGGGAAUACCAGGU